AUUUGAGUGAGUGGCGAACUGGUGAGUAACACGUGGGAAACCUGCCCAGAAGCGGGGGAUAACACCUGGAAACGCAGUCUUAUACCGCAUAACAACUUGGACCGCAUGGCCCGAGGUUGGAAGAUGGCUUCGGCUAUCACUUUUGGAUGGUCCCGCGGCGUAUUAGCUAGAUGGUGGGGUAACGGCUCACCAUGGCAAUGAUACGUAGCCGACCUGAGAGGGUAAUGGGCCACAUUGGGACUGAGACACGGCCCAAACUCCUACGGGAGGCAGCAGUAGGGAAUCUUCCACAAUGGACGAAAGUCUGAUGGAGCAACGCCGCGUGAGUGAAGAAGGGUUUCGGCUCGUAAAACUCUGUUGUUAAAGAAGAACAUAUCUGAGAGUAACUGUUCAGGUAUUGACGGUAUUUAACCAGAAAGCCACGGCUAACUACGUGCCAGCAGCCGCGGUAA
RNAcentral lists this ribosomal RNA (452 nucleotides) under Lactiplantibacillus plantarum. RNAcentral describes it as "bacterial SSU rRNA". It matches the Rfam family "Bacterial small subunit ribosomal RNA", at positions 85 to 523 of the family's 1533-position model. The record is from RNAcentral. Lineage: Bacteria; Bacillati; Bacillota; Bacilli; Lactobacillales; Lactobacillaceae.